CAAAUUCUCUGGCUGGGAGACACCAUGCUCAUAUAAAAUUGGUUUUCCCUGGGAGAGGGUCAUCCAUUGCAUUCCAGGUGUGUUGACUCCUUCAAUUUUCCCAAGUGCGGAAAACUCAGUUGCAUAAUUUGUGGUAUUAUUUGUGAAUGCACACUC
This is a small nuclear RNA of Sphaerodactylus townsendi, 156 nucleotides long. RefSeq annotates it as U1 spliceosomal RNA. The transcript has a single exon. NCBI's taxonomy places the organism in Eukaryota, Metazoa, Chordata, Lepidosauria, Squamata, Sphaerodactylidae. The record is from RefSeq and is a predicted model, not a curated record.